AAAAAUUGCUGAAUUGUUCUAAAUGAUCAGAAUACCAGAAAGAACCCCACAGAAUUGUGAAUGCAGUAUUAAACUAUAACAGGUACACUCACCUUAAAAAACAUCAGGAGGUCAUUUCAGAGACUUGCAGUACUUCUGUUCAGUGUUUUUAAGACUUUGAGAUCCGUCUGCAAUCUCUGAUCCAGUUCCUUCGGCGUUCCAGUAAACUUCAGGACGUCCUGGUGAAGGAUUACUGUGCUGUGGGACAAAGAGAGAGCCGAAUCUCACGGUAAACUCCGUGAACUCAUUUGAUCGCAUCUGUGUUGUGCGUCUUCGCGCGUCGCGCCGCUUCUUUGAUUACACUCGGUUACGCACUGGACGCUCUGCUUUCCACCAUUUUAUUUACACAUGUAAAGAGGGAAAGCAACUUGAGAAGUGUCAAAAUCACCGACUGGAAUUUCGGAAUGUAAAUUAAGUUUGUACGCGGAACGAUAAAACAGCGAUUUGGAACGAGGGACGUUUGGAUGUGGACUUUCGCGUCUGUUUGUUCCAUCAACGCCCAUCUCCACGUGCCUGCUGAGGGAAAAUCACCGUGUAAAACAUGUUUAAGCCUUAUUUCGCUCAGCAUGUGUAUCAGUUGAGAGGAAAGUUGUAUUUUGCAGCUGGAAGCUGUCAGGUUUCUCCUUUUAUCACACGACCGGUCAUCCCAGUAGAGAUGCAACAUCUGUAUUUCAUUGCCGCUGGAGUAAUGAUAAACACACUCUCACAUCUGAUCCAAAACCCACAUCGCACGGAUGAAGCUCAACCAUCAUGGAAUGGAACGCACAGGAUUGUGGGAUAUCAAAGACAGCGAAGGAUACAUCAACGCUGCCUUCAAAAUUCGAUCAUAAGAAGGUACCGCCAGAGACAGGAAGUAAAGCAGAAUUUGGAUUCGAACGUGCCUUUAUGUCUUCCUGUCUUGGAAUGCUGCUUAUGAAGACCGCAUUUUAUAGUUUUAGGAUGCAGCCAAGGUCUUGCAGUCUCCACUUAUAAGCUGAUGAGUUAAAUCGGGCAAGUUCAAGCUCAAACCGGUGUGCACCGUUUUGCUACGGUUUCUGGUUUGAACGACAUGUUUCCUGGAAACGGUGUGCAACGUUUUCUCUUGUUUGGUGGGUGUGUCAAAAAUGUCAGCCCAAUCAGCAGCAACAUGUAUAUAAACCACAAGGUGUUAAAGAGACAGCUCACACAAUAUAUUGUUUGCAUGUUUAUUUAUAUUAAAGGCAAAAUAACUAAAAUAAUAAGAGCACAAGUAUAGAUCUGGAACUUCUUUAAGUCUGUCUAAAUAUCAUUUAGUAUUGCAAUGUCUUCUGGUCUUCCUUGGGAAGCUGUGAUAGACACUGAUUAAUGUAACAUAAAUACUAUACACAUUUAUAUAUUUUGCUAUUGUAUUGUGGAGUGACAAUUUCAUAAACUUUUCUAUACUCUGAUUAAAUAAUGGUAAAUAUUACAAUAAUGUAGCACAACAACAGUGAUCAGCAAUAAGGAUAAGCCUAAUACUCACAAUAAAAAUAAUAAGGUCAUAUAGAUCAUAACACAGUCUCGGAGGUAAGAAGUGGAUUAUUCUUCACCUGAAAUGUUUGCGAGGCAUAUGUUAGGUCACAAUAAUGAGGAACCACAGUUUCCACAAAUCUCUUCACUUGAUUGGGAUGUUCUCUUUGUUUUUUGUUGUGUGUGUGUGUCGUAAUUGUUUAUAACUUAAGUCACUUGAAUAAGCAUAUGCAUAAAUCAGACUUCAGAGCUUCAGUGGUCAACUUUUUAAACAAUAAGUCGGUCUGCUUAGUGCACUGAGCGAUCCUACGACUUUGAAAACUUAGAAUAUAGUGCACGAGUGCUUUUAUGGUCUUUUUGGACUUGGAAAGCUCUUUUACUGUAUGAAAUGUUGUGUUUCACAGGUUUGGAACGACAUGAGGGUGAGUAAAUGAUGACAGAUUUUUUCAUUUUUGGUUGAACUGUUCCUUUAAGCGCACAAAGCUUAUUUUCUUAUGAUCAUCAGCUCUUUGUUUUCGUAAUUCGCUCUUGCCUUUGCUCUUUGUUUCUUUCAUUAGCUCUCUCGAGUGUCUUUUCAACGGCUCAUCACGGCAGCUUGUCCUUUCUGAUUAAAAGUGAAUGAAAACAAAAGAUUUCUCGGCACGGCGACACGCAAAGGCCUGCUUUAAUUACCAGCACUUUGAACCCCGAGCGUGUAGAGCGUGGCGUUGUUCUCGUCACUACAAGGGGGCACGAUUGGAGGAGAUGUGCGCGCUUGCACGCGCAAUCAGCGGGUUCCUCGAGUUCUCUCGUGCACCUUCAUCCGUGCGUGCAAAACCGAGCCUAAAGCGCUAACAAAUCUAAUGACUAAUGAUGUGCAGGUGUUUGCCACCGAUCCGGCCGCUGGAACUGCGUUUCAUUUUGCGGUGCAGCGGCUGGCGAGCGCUUGGGGAAAGCUGGUCGUGAUUCAGUAUGUUUGCGCUGAAUGUAAUCUGUCUCGGGGGACGAGGGGCCCCGCUAAAACCUGACACGAGAGAGACAGACGUAAUCUGAGAGAGAAAAGGCCGUUCCAUACAGCACUACAAUGUGCGUGGAGAUCUCUGCCAGGUUACUGAGGAUAUCGCGCCACCUGCUGGUGGACAACGAAACUGUCAGUGAUUUCAGUAACUCGCGGAAGAAUUGACUUCUAUUUUUCUAGAAUCUCGAUUUUUUUUUAAAUGAAUCAGUCUGUAUCAUAAGGAUUUUUAAGUCAUUUAGUAUUCAUAAACCUCAUGUAAAAUUCAUCAGAAAGGAACUUUGCAUGGUAUUUACUUAGAUAUGUGACAGUUUUUGCUUUGUAGUAGUAUGUGCACUGUAAAAAAGAAAAAAAAGAUGUCCAUAAAAUUACUGGAUAAUGUCCUGGCUGAAAAUUACCAACAGAGGUGGAGUGUCCAGGUUCAGAAAGUGAAAGUCCUCCUCAGUAAUUUGUUCUAG
This is a long non-coding RNA of Cyprinus carpio carpio, 2958 nucleotides long. Lineage: Eukaryota; Metazoa; Chordata; Actinopteri; Cypriniformes; Cyprinidae. The record is from Ensembl.